Molecule: long non-coding RNA, 755 nt
Organism: Oryzias melastigma (Indian medaka)
Lineage: Eukaryota; Metazoa; Chordata; Actinopteri; Beloniformes; Adrianichthyidae
Exons: 5
Source: RefSeq, a predicted model, not a curated record
CAUCCAGGCAGCAAAGGAAUAAAAUGGGAAAUAACAGAAAUUUUUAUCAACACCAAUAGUUAUUCUUUUUUUAAUUUCUUUUUUGAAGCAGACAAAUGAAAUUAAUAAAAUAUAAGGGAAUUAGUGGGUUGACGUUCUGACCCACACUCCAUACCAGUAGGUGGCGGAAACCUUAAAGCUGUGUGCCAACUGCCAUAAAACCACACAAGAAGAAGAAGAAGCCAGGCAGCAGGAGGAGCAGCAGGAGGACGUAGCGUAACCUAACGUAAAGACAUCUAUUUGACCCUUUCUUGUGCGCUGAUGGCUAAUCUCCAGUUAAAGGCCCUGUGUCCAAUCCAUUGAAUCUCUGGAGAAGGCAGACCAUAUGUUUCAUGGAGACGCGCUUCGCUCUAGGAUUUUAAGUAAACUUCAGCCCACUCCUUUCCCCGACAAUAUUUCACUGCCUGACUGAAUCUCAUACGGACGGAAAAGCCACUAGGGGGUCUGGGCACCCCAAAGGAAUCAGAGGGCCAUACUAUAGUGUUGACAGGCCUGGAAUUUCACAGCAGGAAAAAUGGGAUGGCAGUGAAGUGGCCUGGAUUAGUGCUUUCAAACAACACUCUUCAGAAAAUCCCCGUUAUACCUAAAUAUUCCUACUGCAGUGACGUGGGUGUUUGGUGCCGUCACUCACCUGCAGGAUGUAGCCUCGGACAUAAUCUCGGAGGGUCCAGCCCAGACCGUGGAGGAUGUGCAGCACCUCUUCCUGCUUGAGCACG